RNAcentral lists this ribosomal RNA (446 nucleotides) under uncultured bacterium. Its description in RNAcentral is "bacterial SSU rRNA". It matches the Rfam family "Bacterial small subunit ribosomal RNA", at positions 335 to 798 of the family's 1533-position model. The record is from RNAcentral.
GGUCCUACGGGCGGCUGCAGUGGGGAAUAUUGCACAAUGGGGGAAACCCUGAUGCAGCGACGCCGCGUGGAGGAAGAAGGUCUUCGGAUUGUAAACUCCUGUUGUUGGGGAAGAUAAUGACGGUACCCAACAAGGAAGUGACGGCUAACUACGUGCCAGCAGCCGCGGUAAAACGUAGGUCACAAGCGUUGUCCGGAAUUACUGGGUGUAAAGGGAGCGCAGGCGGGAAGACAAGUUGGAAGUGAAAUCUAUGGGCUCAACCCAUAAACUGCUUUCAAAACUGUUUUUCUUGAGUAGUGCAGAGGUAGGCGGAAUUCCCGGUGUAGCGGUGGAAUGCGUAGAUAUCGGGAGGAACACCAGUGGCGAAGGCGGCCUACUGGGCACCAACUGACGCUGAGGCUCGAAAGUGUGGGUAGCAAACAGGAUUAGAUACCCGAGUAGUCGGC